This 1718-nucleotide small RNA is filed under the name Pan troglodytes (chimpanzee). RNAcentral's name for it is "processed transcript". Lineage: Eukaryota; Metazoa; Chordata; Mammalia; Primates; Hominidae. The record is from RNAcentral.
CUGCACGGUCCCACCGCCUUCCCUCACCUCUUGCCUUUUCACAUUAGAGCACGUUCUGGUAAAGGCCAAUCCGUUCAUACAGGGGGAAGAAGAGGGAACGUGGCCUCAGAACCUGCAGCAGCCACCACUGCCGGGUCAGCACAAGGAUGGGCAGAAAUCCACUGGGGAUGAGAGGCCCGCCACAGAGCCCCUCUUUAAGGUCCUAGAUACGCCUCUGAGUGAGGGUGAUGAGCCCGCAACGCUGCUGGCCCCGCGGGACCAUGGGCAGAGUGUGCAGAUGGAAGGCUACCUGGGCCGCAAGCAUGACUUGGAGGGGCCCAACAAGAAGGCUUCCAACAGGUCCUGGAACAACCUGUACUGUGUGCUCAGGAACAGUGAGCUAACCUUCUACAAGGAUGCCAAGAACCUGGCCCUGGGGAUGCCCUACCAUGGGGAGGAACCCCUGGCCCUGAGACAUGCCAUCUGUGAGAUUGCUGCCAACUACAAGAAGAAGAAGCACGUCUUUAAGCUGAGGCUGAGUAAUGGCAGCGAGUGGCUCUUCCAUGGCAAGGAUGAGGAGGAGAUGCUGUCCUGGCUGCAGGGCGUGAGCACCGCCAUCAACGAGUCCCAGAGCAUCCGCAUCAAGGCGCAGAGCCUGCCCCUGCCUUCCCUCUCCGGCCCCGACGCCAGCCUCGGCAAGAAGGAGAAGAGAUUCAGCUUCUUCCCCAAAAAGAAGUAGCGGGUGGGGCUGGCGGGCGCGGCGGAGUCGGGACGCGCAGAGACCGGGGCAGCCCAGGCCUUGGCCUCCUCUCGCCGCCGCCCGCCGGUCGAAUCGAGAUGAGUCGAGUCGCGGGCCGGGCCCCCGGGCCCCACGCUGCACUGCAAAAGCUGCCUUCGCCCGCGUGUCCUGGGCCGACGCCCCCUCCAUGCCCUCGCCCGCGCUGGCUCCGCUCCAGGGACAGGGGAUCCCAGCUCCUCUGGCGCCUUUGGGGCCUCCAGGCCUGGGGGCAGGAAACGGUUCUCUGAGGCACACGCCCUCCUCUCCCACCCUCCUCCUGAGCCGAGGGUGCACAGGCCCCUUACCACCAACCAAAAAAAAAAAAAAAAAGAGCUGGAGAAGGCUGAUGGGGUUCCUCAAACGCUGCCCGUUCCUAAAGCAAGUCUUGCUUCAGGUCACCUCCCACCUGGUGGCAGCCAGGGAAAGGGGGAAAGGAAGAAGACACUGGAAAUGCAUGGCCAGCCCGCUAGGGGCAUGAGGAAGGAGCCUUCAGGUGGCCCACAAAGCCCUAGCUCUGGGCCAGGGGCUCUGGGGGGCUGAGGGGACCAGACUGGGUGCAGGGCCUUGGGAGCUGCCAGCCUCCUUCCCACUGGGCUUCCGCAGAACUGGGACUCUCACCUCAGGGGCCACCACAUCCCUCCUCUCUGCUUCUCCCCCCAGAUCAAAGGGUACCCUCCCACGGUUGGCAGGGCCUGGCUGAGUGCCUCCAGCACCCUUUGUGCCACCACAGGCGGUCCCAGGAAGGGCAGCAAGGUCAGACCAUUCCUCAUUGAAAACCGUGGCUAGGGCACAGGGCUCUGAUCUGAAGGAGUGACAGGUAGGUCACAACACUGCCUAAGGCUCUCCCUCUCAAUGCUGGGACCCUCGCCCCACUCCCAGUGGCAGCCAAACCAGCAAUAUCCAACAGACAUAGGCCCCCUACCCGACAGUGUGGGCCCCCAGAUACAAGAUGGAUACCCCC